AAGUCAACAGUGGCACGCCAGAAUUGAGGAAUUUCUUAUAUUUCAUUCAAUCUAAUAUUCUCAGUGUGACCAGUUUACCAAGCUACACCAGUGAGUUGCAUGUGGAAGUCUAUUGCAGGCCUGGGGAAUGGAUAGGGGAACGAUGGAUUAGGUGCGAUGCAGAGCAGGUUUCUCGGGGGACUAACGCAUGAAGUGCUGCGACGUGCACAUGCGCAGGAUUAACGUUCCUCAGCGCUGGGGCAGGGCAGUGCAGCGCUUCCUUUAUCACCUGCGUACUUCUUACUUAGAAUGUCAAAACAAAAAUAGGUGGUGGUACUUACGUCUGAUUCUUUUCUUCAUGUGUGCCAUAAAUGGCAAGGACAUGGCAUGUGCUUCUGAAGCAGAAGAGCCCCACUGCUUUCCCUUGAGCAAAUGGCGUCAUGAAUUCCACGGUGCGUUCAAUACGCUGACAUCGCGUUUUGCUGGGGUGAGGAAGGGAGCAAGGAAAGAUCUGUAUGCCCACACUGCGAUUUCCUCCUACCAAACUCACCUCUGCAGCCACCCUUUCAAAGGACUGACACACUCUUCAUCAAGUGAACAUCUCUAUGAAUUAUCAGCUGAACAGAUCUCUUGUUAAUUCUACUAAAAGUUCAUCUAAAACAGACCUGUGAUCCAGGAGAAUGCCCAAGAAGUUUUAUGGAAUACUGAGAUAUAGUGCUAGAAGAACACCACAGACUUGAUCUAAAUCUUUAGGCACUAGUGUGCAAUUUCUUUCUUCCCUUUCUUUCAUGAUGCUGUGGAUUGAACUCCGGGCUCACUGUGAGCACUCUACUGCUAAGCAAUAGCCUCAGCCCCUCUAAUAUGCAAUUUCUGUGUUAAUUCUGAGAUCGAGUUCACACAUACCAAGUUGACUGAUGCAUUUCUUACUCAAAAACACGAAGAUAUCAACUAGAUGCUAAACUUCUAGUAAAAUAUUUGGUACAUGUAACAAGAUUCUAAAUACACGGUAUUCAGAACUUUAUUAGACUCUGCUAUUUUAUUAGACUCUGCUAAUUUUAUCAACUCAGCAUUUCAAAGCUUAAUGACAGAUAUAGAAAUAGGUUCAUUAGACUCACACUGCAAUUUUUGGAUUUCAGGAUAUUUGUCCCAUUUUUGUGACCAGUGGGUGACAAUGAGGAAUAAUGCUAGCUAAUAUAUGAAAUGAAAAAGCACAGUAUUUAGUCACAUCUGAGACUGAAAUACAGAUUUUCCCACUUUUUGGCUGUGUGAUCUUGGGCAAAUCAUUUAACUGCUAAGGAGCUUUCACCAGGAUGUUCUAAGAAUCCAAUGAUGCACUGAUGUGAAAGUUCUUUGUAAAGAAAAUGUUAUAUUCUCUAUACUCAAAAUUGAAUGUUAGCUUUAGAAAAGGAACUCUAGGUAUGGUCUUUGAUUUUUCACAGUGAGAAAGAUGUAUGAGGAAACCAGUGAAGAAAGAAUACCAUACCCAGUGACACAAUCAACCCUCACAGAAGCACCUUUAGACUGGGCUCUUGCUGCAGUUUUCAAUGUGUUUGAGAAACUGAAAGGAAUUUAUUUUUUUCCUGGUUAAAACUUGCACAAAGUAGUUACUACCUACCAGGUACUGUGCCGAACACUUAACAUAAAGAUCAUCCCACCCUCACAGUCACCCAGGAGGGUUGCUGCUAUAGCUACAGUUGUUUUAUGGAUGAGGAAACCAGGGGCACACUUUAGAGAAGGACUCCGCCAGUCCUGACCACAGGCAGAAUUUCACCCAUAUUUAUUGCACUGAUCAGUAUUCACUGUAUUCUGUUUGCUUUUUUUCUCCUGCUCCAGUUAUUAUGUGAGAAUACUAAAUUACUUUUCAGUACCUUUGGGAUGAGGGGCAAAUGUCAGAUGUGGGUAAUUCUCAACCCUAGAACAAUCACACACAGCCUGAUGAACCAUUAUACUUACUGGCAGAAUAUGCCACAUCUACACCACCUAUGAAAUUGGGAAGACGAAGUGAUCCAACUUUCCAAAGCGUGGGGAGGGAGCUGCAAAUGGCCCUGUGUGUCUGCCUAAGGAGCCUACUCUCCACAACUCUUGAGAAAUAGUUACUGCAUUAAGAGGGCAUGUAAAAUUUUUUCCAGAUUUCCCAACCACAUAGACUUUCCCCUAGCUUGGGCUGCAGCCCUUACAAUAUGUGGUUUGGACACGAAUCUGGAAUCAAUAAUCUUUCUAGCACCCUGUGCAUUUCUCGCCUGCUUCAAAAAUCUCUUCUUUGCUUUCUUCCUUGGGGACUGGCUAAGACUAAUCGUUUAUGUUGAUAAAUCUGGUAAAACCUAGAGGUGAUAACUUUGUGCAUUAUUUAUAUGAGGGUUUCCAGUAUCUUGGUCCUACACAGGAGCGAUGAACUUGGGACUAUGAAUGGCAUGGCUGUUUUGGUAAAGAUAUUUUCAUUAUUACCACGGGGGCAACUUGCCUACAUAUAAAGCCAGCCUAGGCGGGCACCCAA
Molecule: long non-coding RNA, 2473 nt
Filed under: Chinchilla lanigera (long-tailed chinchilla)
Lineage: Eukaryota; Metazoa; Chordata; Mammalia; Rodentia; Chinchillidae
Description: lncRNA (ENSCLAG00000023828.1)
Source: RNAcentral